Molecule: ribosomal RNA, 445 nt
Filed under: uncultured bacterium
Lineage: Bacteria
Description: bacterial SSU rRNA
Rfam family: Bacterial small subunit ribosomal RNA
Source: RNAcentral
UCCAGACUCCUACGGGAGGCAGCAGUGGGGAAUAUUGCACAAUGGGGGGAACCCUGAUGCAGCGACGCCGCGUGGGUGAGGAAGUACUUCGGUAUGUAAAGCCCUAUCAGCAGGGAAGAAAAUGACGGUACCUGACUAAGAAGCCCCGGCUAACUACGUGCCAGCAGCCGCGGUAAUACGUAGGGGGCAAGCGUUAUCCGGAUUUACUGGGCGUAAAGGGAGCGUAGACGGCGUGCCAAGUCUGAUGUGAAAGGCCGGGGCUCAACCCCGGGACUGCAUUGGAAACUGGCAUGCUGGAGUGCCGGAGGGGCAAGCGGAAUUCCUAGUGUAGCGGUGAAAUGCGUAGAUAUUAGGAGGAACACCAGUGGCGAAGGCGGCUUUCUGGACGACAACUGACGCUGAGGCGCGAAAGUGUGGGGAGCAAACAGGAUUAGAUACCCUAGUA